CCGGGAGCGCGGCGCGCAUGCGCAGGAAAGAAGGCAUGCGCACCGGAGGUGAAGCCAACGCGCAUGUGCUUGGGCGGAAGGCGAGAGGUCUAACAAAGAAGAGUGGUUUAUGCUUCCCACCCCAAGAAGGGCAAUCUGUGCCCCAGCUGAAGCUCAGGCUGGUCAUGGGAGAGCAAACCUCAAAAUACAGAUGCACCAAAAAUGGGAAAAUCAAGCAGAAGGAGCCCAAACGCUUCUGGAGACACAGAGAGAGCAUGGGACACGCACAAGAUCUAGGACCAUGAAUGAGCUUUGACCAUCUGCCAACGGAGUGAUUGCACGUGACUUGUUUCGAUAAAAUCUCGAAGACCACUUCCUCCGAAAGUGUUGCAUUAAAUAUUUGAAAUAAUA
Molecule: long non-coding RNA, 390 nt
Organism: Numida meleagris (helmeted guineafowl)
Lineage: Eukaryota; Metazoa; Chordata; Aves; Galliformes; Numididae
Exons: 2
Source: RefSeq, a predicted model, not a curated record